This 253-nucleotide ribosomal RNA is filed under the name uncultured bacterium. Its description in RNAcentral is "partial 16S ribosomal RNA". It matches the Rfam family "Bacterial small subunit ribosomal RNA", at positions 524 to 776 of the family's 1533-position model. The record is from RNAcentral.
UACAGAGGGGGCGAGCGUUGUUCGGAAUUACUGGGCGUAAAGGGCGCGUAGGCGGCCUGCUAAGUCAUACGUGAAAUCCCUCGGCUCAACCGAGGAACUGCGUCUGAUACUGGUUGGCUUGAAUUCGGGAGAGGGAUGCGGAAUUCCAGGUGUAGCGGUGAAAUGCGUAGAUAUCUGGAGGAACACCGGUGGCGAAGGCGGCAUCCUGGACCGAGAUUGACGCUGAUGCGCGAAAGCCAGGGGAGCAAACGGG